CCUACGUGUGGCAGCAGUGAGGAAUCUUGGUCAAUGGGCGUAAGCCUGAACCAGCCAAGUCGCGUGAGGGAUGAAGGUUCUAUGGAUCGUAAACCUCUUUUAUAAGGGAAUAAAGUGUGGGACGUGUCCUAUUUUGUAUGUACCUUAUGAAUAAGGAUCGGCUAACUCCGUGCCAGCAGCCGCGGUAAUACGGAGGAUCCGAGCGUUAUCCGGAUUUAUUGGGUUUAAAGGGUGCGUAGGCGGCCUUUUAAGUCAGCGGUGAAAGUCAGUGGAUCAACCAUAGAAUUGCCGUUGAAACUGGGGGGCUUGAGUAUGUUUGAGGCAGGCGGAAUGCGUGGUGGAGCGGUGAAAGGCUUAGAUAUCACGCAGAACCCGGAUUGCGAGGGCAGCCUGCCAAGACAUGACUGAAGCUGAUGCACGAAAGCGUGGGGAUCAAACAGGAUUAGAUACCCGAGUAGUC
Molecule: ribosomal RNA, 460 nt
Filed under: uncultured bacterium
Lineage: Bacteria
Description: partial 16S ribosomal RNA
Rfam family: Bacterial small subunit ribosomal RNA
Source: RNAcentral